This 468-nucleotide ribosomal RNA is filed under the name uncultured bacterium. RNAcentral's name for it is "partial 16S ribosomal RNA". It matches the Rfam family "Bacterial small subunit ribosomal RNA", at positions 28 to 507 of the family's 1533-position model. The record is from RNAcentral.
GACGAACGCUGGCGGCGUGCUUAACACAUGCAAGUCGAACGGAAAGGCCCUGCUUUUGUGGGGUGCUCGAGUGGCGAACGGGUGAGUAACACGUGAGUAACCUUCCCUUGACUUUGGGAUAACUUCAGGAAACUGGGGCUAAUACCGGAUAGGAGCUCCUGCUGCAUGGUGGGGGUUGGAAAGUUUCGGCGGUUGGGGAUGGACUCGCGGCUUAUCAGCUUGUUGGUGGGGUAGUGGCUUACCAAGGCUUUGACGGGUAGCCGGCCUGAGAGGGUGGCCGGCCACAUUGGGACUGAGAUACGGCCCAGACUCCUACGGGAGGCAGCAGUGGGAAAUAUUGCACAAUGGGCGGAAGCCUGAUGCAGCAACGCCGCGUGCGGGAUGACGGCCUUCGGGUUGUAAACCGCUUUCGCCUGUAACGAAGCGUGAGUGACGGUAAUGGGUAAAGAAGCAACGGCUAACUACGUG